GUGAGAUUUUAUUAAAUGCUAAAAAAAUGGGAUAACAAGAAACAACAAAGAAUACAAAAGAUUCAAAUAAUUAUGUAUUUGUACAAAGGCUUUACUGAUUACCAAUAAUCCUUACAAGAGCAUACACCUUCUUUGAAGUGGUGGAACCGGUUUGUGUCUCUUAGAACAAUCAUCCUUCCAGUUACUCUAGACACAACCUUAAUCCAGGAGUGACAAUCUAUACAGACACGAAGAUUCUUUGUAAUCCUAAUAGGCAUUCCACUGGUAGUAUUAAUGAGUGCAAAAAUUGUUGCUAGCCGCUCACUAUGCCCACAUACCCACAUUGCUUUCGUUUCUUCGUUUACAUCAUGGAGAACAACGCUUGUACCAGGGACAUAACCAAUUUUUUUCAUAGCUUCUGACAAUUCAUUCCACAUCUUCCUAUACUCAGCAGAAUUACGGAACUCAAAACCCCCACCAGCCACAAAAGAGUGAACUCUAUUCUUUACUUGUGUCCAACUACAUCCAGCCUCUUUCUUAAUUCCUCUUUUUUGCAUAAGCUCUCGAACCUUAUUUACAGAGUCCCACAUACCUGCUUUUGCAUAAAUAUUUGAAAGUAUUACAUAAUUCCCAGAAUUAUUUGGCUCAUGCUCAAACAAUUUCUCCGCUAUAGCCUCUCCAAGAGAGACAUCACCGUGAAGGUGGCAUGAGUUGAGCAAUGAUCCCCAUAUGCUGGCCCUGGGCUUCAUGGGCAUGUUUUUAACUAUCUCCAUAGCCUCCUCAAUUCUUCCAGCCCUACCCAGGAUAUCUACCAAACAAGCAUAAUGCUCUAAACAUGGUGAGACGCCAAAAUCUAUGUCCAUUUUAUCAAACAAUUUCAUCCCAUCUUCUGUAAGCCCAGCAUGGCUGCAACCUGAUAACAAUGCAAUGAAGGUAACCUCAUCUGGUCUCACGCCAGAUGAAACCAUUUCAUCAAACAAUUCCAUUGCUUCUCUCAUGCGCCCAUUGAUUGCAUAUCCAGUCAACAUAGCAUUCCAAGAUGCCAAGUCCUUGCUUCUCAUUCCAUUAAACAGUCUCCUGCCAUAAUCAAACAUUCCACAUUUGACAUACAUAUCAAUAAGUGCAUUUAACACUAGGACAUCUGGUCUUUUUGCUGAUUUAACUAUUUGUGCGUGCAACUCUUUUCCACUGUGAAGAGUUGUCAAUCGUGCGCAAAUUGGCAAAAUUGUUGCAAUGGUAACCCAACUAAAUCCCGUUCCCUCACUCUGCAUCUUUCUAAACAUAUCCAGUGCCUCAAACAAUUGAUCUUGCUUAGCAAAACCUGCGAUCAAAGAAUUCCAAGAAACAACAUUCCUUUGAGGCAUUUCAUCAAACAUCUUCAACAUUUCACUAGAACACCCACAUUGCGCAUACAGUGUUAAGAGGGCGUUAUUCACCACCUGAUCAGGCUCUUCACUAGACUUUAUCACCUGACCAUGAACCCCUCUACCAAGCCUUGAAUCUUUCAAAUUCACACACGCUUUCAAAGCCACAGAAAAAGAGAAAUAACCCGGUUGUAUAUUAUGCCACAACAUGUCAAUGUAAACAAGCAAAGCCUCUCUAAAACGUUCAUUUUUGGAAUACCCAAUUGCCAUUGCCACCCAAACCGACUCGGGCGCCCCAUGAUUCUCAAGGCCAUCUUCAAAAAUAUGGCGCGCCACUUCGAGACGGCCACAGAUGGAGAAAAGGGUAAUGAGCUUGCUCUUUAAAGUGGGAUUUUGAAUAAGGUUGUGACCUCCUUGGCCUUCAGAGAGGAGUUGCAGAUAGAUUCUUUGUCCAUAGUCUAAUGAUUUAUAGGAGAUACAAGCAUGAAGAAGGAAGGCAUACGUCUCAGGAUCCGUAAACUUGGACGAUGAAGAUUCGAUCCGACGAAUAGCCUCGUCGAGUUUGCCUGAUUUGGAGAGGGAUUUGAGGGUUUGAUUGAGGAGAGGCUUUUGUGGUUUGGACGAUCUGGGGCCUGAGAUAACCGUUGCCUCGAUUGGGCGAGCUGUGCUGCUUAAGAUGGAAAUGGCGGGAAUCAUUAUCAGAAUGUGCACGGUGCACCGUUA
Molecule: unclassified non-coding RNA, 2066 nt
Filed under: Hevea brasiliensis (rubber tree)
Lineage: Eukaryota; Viridiplantae; Streptophyta; Magnoliopsida; Malpighiales; Euphorbiaceae
Source: RNAcentral